RNAcentral lists this unclassified non-coding RNA (463 nucleotides) under Hevea brasiliensis (rubber tree). The record is from RNAcentral. Lineage: Eukaryota; Viridiplantae; Streptophyta; Magnoliopsida; Malpighiales; Euphorbiaceae.
GCUUCGCAACACUUUCAGCUUCAGCUCCAUUUCCUACUGUAACACUGGACUUCACCUACCCUCCCAUUUCCAAUUCCUCACAGAGAAUUCAAGGCCAUUUCCUUCUCCCUUCUGAUCUGAACUUCCCCCACAAUUUUGCGUCUGUGCCAAAUGUUUCUUCGCGAGCCCUAUGCAACCAAUAUAAAGUUUCUGGUCUUUUAAGCCCUCAUCAGGGAAUGGAGCUGCCUCAAAUACCUCCAUCGGCGGACAGUAGUGUUAGUGUAGCAGCGGCUGGUAGCAGACCCUGACUUCACUGCAGCUCUAGUUGCAGCGAUCAGUUCCAUCAUUGGCAAUGUUCAAGCAAGUAGUAGUGCUAAUAACGGCUCCACUAUAAGGAACAGUAUUGACAACAGCACAUGAAAUGAGCGUAAAAUAUUUGUAUUGAUAUUGACGAAGAAAUUUCUCAAUGCACUUUACACUGUCG